CCUACGGGUGGCAGCAGUGGGGAAUAUUGCGCAAUGGGCGCAAGCCUGACGCAGCGACGCCGCGUGAAGGAAGAAGGCUUUCGGGUUGUAAACUUCUUUUCUCAGGGAAGAAACAAGUGACGAUACCUGGGGUAUAAGCCGCGGCUAACUAUGUGACAGCCGCCGCGGUAAUACGUAGGGGGCGAGCGUUAUCCGGAUUUACUGGGUGUAAAGGGCGUGUAGGCGGGAAAGAAAGUCAGUUGUGAAAACCAUGGGCUCAACUUGUGACCUGCAUGUGAAACUGUUUUUCUUGAGUACUGGAGAGGAAAGCGGAAUUCCUAGUGUAGCGGUGAAAUGCGUAGAUAUUAGGAGGAACACCAGUGGCGAAGGCGGUCUUCUGGACAGCAACUGACGCUGAGGCGCGAAAGCGUGGGGAGCAAACAGGAUUAGAUACCCCUGUAGUC
RNAcentral lists this ribosomal RNA (443 nucleotides) under uncultured bacterium. Its description in RNAcentral is "partial 16S ribosomal RNA". It matches the Rfam family "Bacterial small subunit ribosomal RNA", at positions 338 to 795 of the family's 1533-position model. The record is from RNAcentral.